RNAcentral lists this ribosomal RNA (424 nucleotides) under uncultured bacterium. RNAcentral describes it as "partial 16S ribosomal RNA". It matches the Rfam family "Bacterial small subunit ribosomal RNA", at positions 360 to 776 of the family's 1533-position model. The record is from RNAcentral.
AAUAUUUGACAAUGGGGGGAACCCUCAUCCAGCCAUGCCGCGUGUGUGAAGAAGGUCUCCGGAUUGUAAAGCACUUUAAGUUGGGAGGAAGAGUUGUAUGCUAAUACCUUGCAAUUUUGAUGUUACCAACAGAAUCAGCACCGGCUAACUUCGUGCCAGCAGCCGCGGUAAUACGAAGGGUGCAAGCGUUAAUCGGAAUUACUGGGCGUAAAGCACGCGGUGGUAGUUCGUUAAGUUGGAAGUAAAAGACACGGGCUUAACCUGGGAAUUGAUUUCAAAACUAACGAGCUAGAGUACGGUAGAGGGUAGUGGAAUUUCCUGUGUAGCGGUGAAAUGCGUAGAUAUAGGAAGGAACAUCAGUGGCGAAGGCGACUACCUGGACUGAUACUGACACUGAGGUGCGAAAGCAUGGGGAGCAAACAGG